CUCUUCCGAUUCAACAAAGAACGGCCAUGCACCACCACCCAUAGAAUCAAGAAAGAGCUCUCAAUCUGUCAAUCCCUAUGUCUGGACCUGGUGAGUUUUCCCGUGUUGAGUCAAAUUAAGCCGCAGGCUCCCUCCUAAUUGGUGCCCAAAUAACACUCGCUGAUCCCUAGUCGGCAUCGUUUAUGGUUAGAACUAGGACGGUAUCUGAUCGUCUUCGAUCCUCUAACUUUCGUUCUUGA
Molecule: long non-coding RNA, 239 nt
Organism: Xenia sp. Carnegie-2017
Lineage: Eukaryota; Metazoa; Cnidaria; Anthozoa; Malacalcyonacea; Xeniidae
Exons: 3
Source: RefSeq, a predicted model, not a curated record